Molecule: small nucleolar RNA, 98 nt
Organism: Humulus lupulus (European hop)
Lineage: Eukaryota; Viridiplantae; Streptophyta; Magnoliopsida; Rosales; Cannabaceae
Product: small nucleolar RNA snoR99
Exons: 1
Source: RefSeq, a predicted model, not a curated record
UUGCUGUAGGGAAGACUAGUCCCCCAUAUUCAUGAUCAUCCUGUUCACUUUGUCAGCCGACAUUUAUGUCUUGCUGAUCAUUUAUUGAUGGGAAAUUU